AAAGAAUAUUUGAAAUGAAGUUGGGGUCAAAUAAGUAAAAUGACAAAAUAAAUGAUCGUAAAACAAAAACAAAAACAAAAAAAUAAAAAUAAAAAUAUAGGAAUGGGCGAAGGCGCAUACCUUCACCCGAAAACAAUUUUAAAAAGAAAAAAAAAAGGAGAAGCUUUUGGCUUCUUUCCUACACACUCAAAUUCCACUCGGUAGCUCCACUGCGACAAAAUUCUGGUGAGCUUUCCGGCUGACCAAGGCUUUAUUUGGUAGGAGUCUACACCCCCUUCAUUGGCUUAUAGAAAGAGAAGGGAUUAAGAUAUCUGGUGCUUGUAAAUGCUCGAGAAUGAUGAGAUAUUGUUGGUUGAUCAUUGGAGGUGAGUCUGCUUCUGAUGUAGGUCCUCCAGAUCAGUAGGAGGGGGCGUGAUCGUGGUGGCCUGGGCGGAUGAUUGACUUAUGUUUUGGACUUUGGAUGUCUUUUAUUUGAUUUGGAUAUAUAUUUAUGUAUUAUGAGAUUGUAUUUCUGGAUUUAUGUUGGAUGACCAUGAGGGUGCUCCGGGUUUUUGGGACUCCUGUAUCGGAUAGUAUGGAGAUGGAUAUAGGCCAUGAGGAUCUUGGUUUGGAUUAGAUGUUUGGAUUCUGUUGGAUAUUAUGUCAUAUUUGAAUUUCUUUUA
Tripterygium wilfordii is the source of this 662-nucleotide long non-coding RNA. RefSeq lists it as uncharacterized. The transcript is spliced from 3 exons. NCBI's taxonomy places the organism in Eukaryota, Viridiplantae, Streptophyta, Magnoliopsida, Celastrales, Celastraceae. The record is from RefSeq and is a predicted model, not a curated record.